Molecule: long non-coding RNA, 494 nt
Filed under: Nicotiana benthamiana
Lineage: Eukaryota; Viridiplantae; Streptophyta; Magnoliopsida; Solanales; Solanaceae
Description: long non-coding RNA (NBEN_LNC029625)
Source: RNAcentral
UCUACUUCAAACCAAUAUUAAAAUCUAGCUUGAACUUCAAACUAACAUAAUAACCUUACUAGAAUCGACUAAUUAUCGACAAUAUUAUGCUCAUGCAAGCCUGAAAACAGUUCAUAUAGUCCAAUUAAUACAAAUCAAUGUAUUGUCUAAAUAAACAUGAUUACUCAUUGCCUUUAAACAAAAAUAAAAUAGGAAACUUCAAAGAUCAAAUCAAAUAACAUUUCAGCAUUUAUCUUCAAAUCAAUCCUACAUUGAUUCUUCAAAGAUCGUAUGAGACCGAAUGAGUACCUGGAGAGUGAAUGAAUGGAAUGAAUGAGAAUCAGCAAAACAGAUAAUUGCAAUUGAAACCAGCAACAACAUAGCUCAUAAAUUGAGUGCCAAAAACCCGAAGAAGGUGAUCUCAGUCAGACAAAUACCCACAGCAAACUAGUUUUCUUUUGAAAGGAAAAUAAAACCCAAAACAGCGCUCCACCAGUUUAACAAAAAGAUCUCAC